GAUGAACGCUGGCGGCGUGCCUAAUACAUGCAAGUCGAGCGAACAGACGAGGAGCUUGCUCCUCUGACGUUAGCGGCGGACGGGUGAGUAACACGUGGAUAACCUACCUAUAAGACUGGGAUAACUUCGGGAAACCGGAGCUAAUACCGGAUAAUAUAUUGAACCGCAUGGUUCAAUAGUGAAAGACGGUUUUGCUGUCACUUAUAGAUGGAUCCGCGCCGCAUUAGCUAGUUGGUAAGGUAACGGCUUACCAAGGCAACGAUGCGUAGCCGACCUGAGAGGGAGACAGGCAACCCGUGAACAGAGGAGCGCACCAGUACCCAGCGGGCGGAAGCACGUGGGACUCGCCCGCAAAGGGCGCAAGACGGGCGGAGGAAGGGCGCAGGGGGGAUGAAUCGAUGCGAUAAAUAACACGCGGUUAUAAGAGCAAAACAAAUGUGUAAGUAACGGUGCACGGCGUGACCGUAGAUACUCAAAAACCCCCGGCUUCAUCCGAGCCCGCACCGUAGAUAAUAGCUCACAAGAGC
RNAcentral lists this ribosomal RNA (527 nucleotides) under uncultured bacterium. Its description in RNAcentral is "partial 16S ribosomal RNA". The stretch from base 12 to 383 matches the Rfam family "Bacterial small subunit ribosomal RNA", at positions 39 to 400 of the family's 1533-position model. The record is from RNAcentral.